AACAGAUUUACUUCGGUAAUGACGUUAGGAAAGCGAGCGGCGGAUGGGUGAGUAACACGUGGGGAACCUGCCCCAUAGUCUGGGAUACCACUUGGAAACAGGUGCUAAUACCGGAUAAGAAAGCAGAUCGCAUGAUCAGCUUUUAAAAGGCGGCGUAAGCUGUCGCUAUGGGAUGGCCCCGCGGUGCAUUAGCUAGUUGGUAAGGUAAAGGCUUACCAAGGCGAUGAUGCAUAGCCGAGUUGAGAGACUGAUCGGCCACAUUGGGACUGAGACACGGCCCAAACUCCUACGGGAGGCAGCAGUAGGGAAUCUUCCACAAUGGACGCAAGUCUGAUGGAGCAACGCCGCGUGAGUGAAGAAGGUUUUCGAAUCGUAAAGCUCUGUUGUUGGUGAA
This 394-nucleotide ribosomal RNA is filed under the name uncultured Lactobacillus sp. RNAcentral's name for it is "bacterial SSU rRNA". It matches the Rfam family "Bacterial small subunit ribosomal RNA", at positions 68 to 446 of the family's 1533-position model. The record is from RNAcentral. Lineage: Bacteria; Bacillati; Bacillota; Bacilli; Lactobacillales; Lactobacillaceae.